This 403-nucleotide ribosomal RNA is filed under the name uncultured bacterium. RNAcentral describes it as "bacterial SSU rRNA". It matches the Rfam family "Bacterial small subunit ribosomal RNA", at positions 355 to 775 of the family's 1533-position model. The record is from RNAcentral.
UAGGGAAUAUUAGUAAUGGGCGAAAGCCUGAACUAGCAACGCCGCGUGUGCGAAGAAGGCCUUCGGGUUGUAAAGCACUUUUUGAGAGGAUGAGGAAGGACGGUACUCUCAGAAUAAGUCUCGGCUAACUACGUGCCAGCAGCCGCGGUAACACGUAGGAGGCGAACGUUAUCCGGAUUUAGUGGGCGUAAAGCGUGUGUAGGUGGUUUGGUAAGUAGGGGGUGAAAGCUCCUGGCUCAACUCGGAGAGGCCGUUCUAAACUGCCGAACUAGAGGAUGGUAGAGGGAGGUGGAAUUCCGGGUGUAGCGGUGGAAUGCGCAGAUAUCCGGAGGAACACCAGUGGCGAGAGCGGCCUCCUGGACCAUUCCUGACACUCAGACGCGAAAGCUAGGGUAGCAAACGG